RNAcentral lists this ribosomal RNA (446 nucleotides) under uncultured bacterium. Its description in RNAcentral is "partial 16S ribosomal RNA". It matches the Rfam family "Bacterial small subunit ribosomal RNA", at positions 338 to 795 of the family's 1533-position model. The record is from RNAcentral.
CCUACGGGUGGCAGCAGUCGAGAAUUAUUCACAAUGGGGGAAACCCUGAUGGUGCGACGCCGCGUGGGGGAAUGAAGGUCUUCGGAUUGUAAACCCCUGUCAUGUGGGAGCAAAUUAAAAAGAUAGUACCACAAGAGGAAGAGACGGCUAACUCUGUGCCAGCAGCCGCGGUAAUACAGAGGUCUCAAGCGUUGUUCGGAAUCACUGGGCGUAAGGCGUGCGUAGGCUGUUUCGUAAGUCGUGUGUGAAAGGCCAGGGCUCAACCCGCGGACGGCACAUGAUACUGGGAGACUAGAGUAAUGGAGGGGGAACCGGAAUUCUCGGUGUAGCAGUGAAAUGCGUAGAUAUCGAGAGGAACACUCGUGGCGAAGGCGGGUUCCUGGACAUUAACUGACGCUGAGGCACGAAGGCCAGGGGAGCGAAAGGGAUUAGAUACCCCGGUAGUC